AAGUUCUAAAUCAGCAGCCCACUCCCAAAUCGUAUCUCUCUCCCAUCUCUCUUCUUCGCAACCAGUAGGGACCAGCAGAUCAACGCAGCAGCGUAGCAACCGGCGACCUUCCCUUCCGUCUCUCUCUUGCUCUUGAUCGGACCAGCAGGGGAACCUGCGGCGGAGCAGAUCGGCGGUGGUGGGCGGCUCGGGCGAGGACGUCCAGCGAACAGCCGCAGAUUGGAGCAGCAGGUGGUGGUCUCUCUGGCGUGGCUGGUCAACGACGAACUCCGGCGGGCAGUGGCGAUCAACGGCGGCGUCUUCCCUCCUCUGGCGCGGCAGCUGGACGGCGGUGGCUGUGGGUGGUGUGGUGACCGGCGGUGUGGCAGCAGGUGUGGCGGUGGUGGUAUUGGCUCUGAAAAAUUGGGCAGAAAACAAAGGAAGAUGGCAAAUUUGUGAGAGAUUAAGUUGGAUUAGUGAGGUUCCUUGUUGAAGUGUUCAACUCAGGAGUUGAGCUAAGACUGGGCGUUUUAUUUUUGGAGCCUAGCUUUGAGGAUCUGGACUUGUGGCUAGUUGAGAGCGUGACGUAGAACUUGUAAGCCCCGAGAAAUGUUCACGUCAUAAUCUGUGUAGAUUGGACUUGAAUUGUCUUGUAGUUAGUUGUGAUUUGAAUAAGGGAAUAUUGUAAUGGAAGUUGUAAAUAGAAACGUUUGAAGCCUGUGCGUUUGGGCUUAGUUGUGACCCAAGCGUGGCAUAGCACCCCUUUGUUUAAGUUUUGGUUUCGCUUCCACAUUUAUAUUCAGUCUUUUAGUAACAAAACCCUUUAUUUUGAUUUA
Ipomoea triloba (trilobed morning glory) is the source of this 815-nucleotide long non-coding RNA. RefSeq lists it as uncharacterized. The record is from RefSeq and is a predicted model, not a curated record. The transcript has 3 exons. NCBI's taxonomy places the organism in Eukaryota, Viridiplantae, Streptophyta, Magnoliopsida, Solanales, Convolvulaceae.